RNAcentral lists this ribosomal RNA (1320 nucleotides) under Bacillus sp. SGE67(2010). Its description in RNAcentral is "bacterial SSU rRNA". It matches the Rfam family "Bacterial small subunit ribosomal RNA", at positions 50 to 1356 of the family's 1533-position model. The record is from RNAcentral. Lineage: Bacteria; Bacillati; Bacillota; Bacilli; Caryophanales; Bacillaceae.
UAUACUGCAGUCGAGCGGACAGAUGGGAGCUUGCUCCCUGAUGUUAGCGGCGGACGGGUGAGUAACACGUGGGUAACCUGCCUGUAAGACUGGGAUAACUCCGGGAAACCGGGGCUAAUACCGGAUGGUUGUUUGAACCGCAUGGUUCAAACAUAAAAGGUGGCUUCGGCUACCACUUACAGAUGGACCCGCGGCGCAUUAGCUAGUUGGUGAGGUAACGGCUCACCAAGGCAACGAUGCGUAGCCGACCUGAGAGGGUGAUCGGCCACACUGGGACUGAGACACGGCCCAGACUCCUACGGGAGGCAGCAGUAGGGAAUCUUCCGCAAUGGACGAAAGUCUGACGGAGCAACGCCGCGUGAGUGAUGAAGGUUUUCGGAUCGUAAAGCUCUGUUGUUAGGGAAGAACAAGUACCGUUCGAAUAGGGCGGUACCUUGACGGUACCUAACCAGAAAGCCACGGCUAACUACGUGCCAGCAGCCGCGGUAAUACGUAGGUGGCAAGCGUUGUCCGGAAUUAUUGGGCGUAAGGGCUCGCAGGCGGUUUCUUAAGUCUGAUGUGAAAGCCCCCGGCUCAACCGGGGAGGGUCAUUGGAAACUGGGGAACUUGAGUGCAGAAGAGGAGAGUGGAAUUCCACGUGUAGCGGUGAAAUGCGUAGAGAUGUGGAGGAACACCAGUGGCGAAGGCGACUCUCUGGUCUGUAACUGACGCUGAGGAGCGAAAGCGUGGGGAGCGAACAGGAUUAGAUACCCUGGUAGUCCACGCCGUAAACGAUGAGUGCUAAGUGUUAGGGGGUUUCCGCCCCUUAGUGCUGCAGCUAACGCAUUAAGCACUCCGCCUGGGGAGUACGGUCGCAAGACUGAAACUCAAAGGAAUUGACGGGGGCCCGCACAAGCGGUGGAGCAUGUGGUUUAAUUCGAAGCAACGCGAAGAACCUUACCAGGUCUUGACAUCCUCUGACAAUCCUAGAGAUAGGACGUCCCCUUCGGGGGCAGAGUGACAGGUGGUGCAUGGUUGUCGUCAGCUCGUGUCGUGAGAUGUUGGGUUAAGUCCCGCAACGAGCGCAACCCUUGAUCUUAGUUGCCAGCAUUCAGUUGGGCACUCUAAGGUGACUGCCGGUGACAAACCGGAGGAAGGUGGGGAUGACGUCAAAUCAUCAUGCCCCUUAUGACCUGGGCUACACACGUGCUACAAUGGACAGAACAAAGGGCAGCGAAACCGCGAGGUUAAGCCAAUCCCACAAAUCUGUUCUCAGUUCGGAUCGCAGUCUGCAACUCGACUGCGUGAAGCUGGAAUCGCUAGUAAUCGCGGAUCAGCAUG